This 247-nucleotide ribosomal RNA is filed under the name uncultured bacterium. RNAcentral's name for it is "partial 16S ribosomal RNA". It matches the Rfam family "Bacterial small subunit ribosomal RNA", at positions 86 to 334 of the family's 1533-position model. The record is from RNAcentral.
AGAUGGCGACCGGCGCACGGGUGAGUAACACGUAUCCAACCUGCCGAUAACUCGGGGAUAGCCUUUCGAAAGAAAGAUUAAUACCCGAUGGUAUAAUCAGACCGCAUGGUUUGAUUAUUAAAGAAUUUCGGUUAUCGAUGGGGAUGCGUUCCAUUAGGCAGUUGGUGAGGUAACGGCUCACCAAACCUUCGAUGGAUAGGGGUUCUGAGAGGAAGGUCCCCCACAUUGGAACUGAGACGCGGUCCAA